Molecule: ribosomal RNA, 463 nt
Filed under: Streptococcus sp. oral taxon C56
Lineage: Bacteria; Bacillati; Bacillota; Bacilli; Lactobacillales; Streptococcaceae
Description: bacterial SSU rRNA
Rfam family: Bacterial small subunit ribosomal RNA
Source: RNAcentral
GACGAACGCUGGCGGCGUGCCUAAUACAUGCAAGUAGAACGCUGAAGGAGGAGCUUGCUCUUCUGGAUGAGUUGCGAACGGGUGAGUAACGCGUAGGUAACCUGCCUGGUAGUGGGGGAUAACUAUUGGAAACGAUAGCUAAUACCGCAUAAUAACAGUUGUUGCAUGACAACUGUUUGAAAGGUGCAAUUGCAUCACUACCAGAUGGACCUGCGUUGUAUUAGCUAGUUGGUGGGGUAACGGCUCACCAAGGCAACGAUACAUAGCCGACCUGAGAGGGUGAUCGGCCACACUGGGACUGAGACACGGCCCAGACUCCUACGGGAGGCAGCAGUAGGGAAUCUUCGGCAAUGGACGGAAGUCUGACCGAGCAACGCCGCGUGAGUGAAGAAGGUUUUCGGAUCGUAAAGCUCUGUUGUAAGAGAAGAACGAGUGUGAGAGUGGAAAGUUCACACUGUGACGG